GCAGGCACAUUCCUGCCAAUCAGCAGCAGACCCUUCCUCCCAGACCCUCCCACCUCCUGGACAGCAUCCAUUUUACAUUCAUUGUGAAGCUGCAUUCUUAGUGAGCUGUCCAGGAGGUGGGAGGGUCUGGGAGGGAGGGUCUGCUGCUGAUUGGCUGGAAUGUGUCUG
This 168-nucleotide microRNA precursor is filed under the name Pelobates cultripes (western spadefoot toad). Lineage: Eukaryota; Metazoa; Chordata; Amphibia; Anura; Pelobatidae. The record is from RNAcentral.